Molecule: unclassified non-coding RNA, 2110 nt
Filed under: Hevea brasiliensis (rubber tree)
Lineage: Eukaryota; Viridiplantae; Streptophyta; Magnoliopsida; Malpighiales; Euphorbiaceae
Source: RNAcentral
GCGGCAACAAACCACAAAGCAAAAUGCUGAGAAGAGUUUUACUAAAUGAAGUUUCCACUUGCCGUCAUUUUCUGUUCAACAAAGCAGCAACUUCUCUUUCAUUUCCUCUGCGCAGGAUUAACUCCUUUUUUUCUUCGUCUUCGCAAUCAGAAUUCCCCAACGCUCCUUUCGUCGAACAUUUGGAGAACCACAAUGCCCAACCUACCACUACCAUCUCCAUCGACCGCUCCGGACUUUAUAACCCCGAUGAGCAUUCUCAUGAAUCCACUUUGGAGUCGGAGCUUAUCAAGCACCUUAAAGGCGUUAUCAAGUUCCGAGGUGGCCCAAUUACAGUGGCUGAGUACAUGGAAGAAGUUUUGACAAACCCUAAAGCCGGGUUCUACAUUAAUCGAGAUGUGUUUGGAGCAGAAGGUGAUUUUAUAACAUCUCCUGAAGUUAGCCAGAUGUUUGGGGAGAUGAUUGGUGUGUGGGCCAUGUGUUUAUGGGAGCAAAUGGGACAGCCAAAAAAAGUGAACCUGGUAGAGCUUGGUCCAGGUCGAGGAACUCUUAUGGCUGAUCUUCUGCGUGUAUGAUGUCACACUCUAAUUAUGACAAUUUGUCAGGUUUCCUAUUUUAUGCUGAAGAAUAGUAUAUAUUGAUUCUUCACUUCCUUUUUUCUCCUUGUGUAGGAAGGCUUUAUUUCCUUUUGUACUGAGUAAGUGUAACUUUUACAUGUAGGGCGCGUCGAAGUUUAAGAGCUUCACUGAAUCAUUGCAUAUACAUAUGGUAGAAUGUAGUCCCGUGUUACAGAAACUUCAAUAUUGCAAUUUAAAAUGUGUGGAUGAACAUACUGCCAGUGAAGGUGUUGAGAAAAGGAAUAUUAGCACAUUGGCAGGAGUGCCUAUAUCAUGGCAUGCUUCAUUGGAGCAGGUUCCAUCAGGAUUGCCAGUAAUCAUCAUUGCCCAUGAGUUUUAUGAUGCUCUACCAAUUCAUCAGUUUCAGAGGGCUUCUCAUGGCUGGUGUGAGAAAAUGGUUGAUAUUGCGGAGGAUUCAACGUUUCGUUUUGUUCUAUCUCCGCAGCCAACUCCUGCAACUCUCUAUUUAAUGAAGCGCUGCAAGUGGGCUGCAAUUGAAGAAAUUGAUAAGCUUAACCACAUUGAAGUUUGCGCAAAAGGAAUGGAUUUGACUCAUACAAUUGCCAAAAGAAUAAGUUCUGAUGGAGGAGGGGCGCUUAUAAUUGAUUAUGGUCUAAAUGGAGUAGUCUCAGACAGUUUGCAGGCAAUUAGGAAACACAAGUUUGUCAACAUACUAGACAAUCCUGGAUCUGCUGAUCUCAGUGCAUGCGUUGAUUUUGCUUCCAUCCGGCACUCUGCUGAGGAAGUUUCAGAGGAUGUCUGUGUCCAUGGCCCAAUUACUCAGUCCCAAUUUCUUGGUUCUCUGGGAAUAAAUUUCCGUGUGGAAGCAUUGCUGCAGAACUGCACAGAUGAACAGGCAGAGUCCCUAAGGACAGGAUACUGGCGUCUGGUGGGUGAAGGUGAAGCCCCGUUUUGGGAAGGACCCGAUGAACAGGUGCCGAUUGGCAUGGGUACCCGGUAUUUGGCAAUGGCUAUUGUGAACAAGAAGCAAGGUGUUCCAGUUCCAUUUCAAUAAAGUUUGAGAUGCUUUAUGUUUUGUAAGAUUUUCUAACUCAAGCAUUUAUGCAUUAAUAGUUUAUUAUAAUUUAUAUUAUGCAAUAAGUUUCUAGUUUUAUAUUUCUUGCAAAAUCUGGUUCCAUCUUAUAUAUUGAGGUGUGUAUUCAAGGCUAUUUUUAUACUGUGAUUAGUUUAAAACGGUCAUUCCUCAGUUCAAUGUUGUCAAUAGAAAAUAUAAGAAGAAAUUAAAAAAAUGUAAAUAUGUCAUUUAGUAUAACAUCACUAGGGAUAUGCUUUAUUUUCAACACCCACGUCUCUGAUUCAAUUAUAUAGAAUUUGAAUGGUUUGAGAAUGAGAUAGGUGUGGAUUUAGAUAGAAUUCAAGUUUAAUGUUAGUUAAUAUUUUAUACUAAUAAAAUAAUAUUUACCAGAAUGGAACGACAUGGGAGGGUGCAUCUCUUAUAUUAAGAUGCAAGAAAUUUAAUUUUUCUUCUUGAGCAG